AUAGAUGCAACUGUCUGCAACAAAACAACAGCGACUCAUUUUUUUGUUAGAGACAACGCUUAGGGCCGGGUAAUCAGAUAUUUGAAAAACAGGCAACCGGAAUAGCAUCCUAUCUGCUAGGUCUUCACAGACGGCCGGCACUAACCCCGCCACGACGCCAGGUUCUCAGGCCGGGAGGCAGUCGGAGCCGCGGCCAUGACACUACAAGCACUGGCGGCUGCAUUUGGGAAGGAUUUACUAUGUGCCGGGCACCGAGCUUUACAAAAGUUAGCUUAUUUCGUCUGAAUGCUUUGAAGCAGGUGCCAUGAUUAUACUCGUUGUGCAGAUGGCGAGACUGAGGCCAGGAGAGGUGAAGCGGCUGGUCCAGAGUCUCACAAGUACCACCCGGGGGGGUGGGGGCAGGGUUUGAACAGAGGUGUGCUGGACUGCAGAGAAGAAGGGACACUUGGUGCCGGGGCCGCCUGGACGGAGGAGGCCCUCCCGCCUCACUCAGCAGGACAAGCACGGUGGGAGCUGGAUACUCCCGCCACUGGCUCCCACCUCCCCCCCCAACAUUUUGCUAGGAAAACUUGAAGCCAUGUGCCUGUGUCACCUUGGGGAACACGGCCAGCAUUAGAUUAAGGCCAGGCUGAACAGCCGCCCGUUCCUGGCCUGCUCUGAGCUCGAAGCACAGGUCCAGGUGGCUCAGAUCCUCUCAGAGUGAGAAGGUCCGUACAGAAGCAAAGGCUCCUUUUAUUCCAGAAGCCCAUCAUGUUUUACCUGUACAAUCUUAUUUUUAAUUGAAUUAUUUUUAAUUAUUUUAAAAAACAGGUUCAUGGAGCUAUAAUUUAUACGCUAUAAAAUCCAUCCACGAAAAGCCUACGGAGGUUACCAAACUGGAUUCUGACUGCUGCUCUGAUGAAUCCGGAGUUAAAAGGAGGAAAGAGAAUAUCUUGCUGUGCCUGGCAAUGUGUUAUGGACUUCACAGAAAGGAAGCUGAUAAAAAUCAGCUGCAAACACUGCAGGGAGCAAGAUCAUUCUACAGCAGCCUGUUGACAAGGGCCUUUACUGCACAGGCAUCUGAUGAAAACAAGCAAACGCAGCAGCCCGUGCGUGUGGGGGAAGGAGUUACAGAAGUGGCCUGGGUGACCGUGGGGAAAACCAACUGGUUCUCUGGGGUCGUUCACCGGGGACCUGGCAGCCUUCUGGGAGAAGGAGGGAGAUGGGAAAUGAAAGCCAGAUUCCGGACCCAGAGAAACGGACAGAAGUGGCACUGCUUGGGGAAGACAGAGGCAGGUCUGGGAAUCUCCGGGAUUGCUAAGGCCUUGACCCAGGUGGCAUCUAAAGACACAGAGCUUAUCUUCUGACGGCUCAGUGGGUCUAGGAAAACAGACAUACACCGAUCCCAUGCUGAGAUGAAAGCAGAGCCUGAAGCCAGGAGACCACCAAAGCCAGGGGUAAUGACCUGGAGAGGCCACUUGAACCACACCUGGCACAGCCCUGGGCCACUCCCGCCCAGGGGAACCCGGUCUGCUCCCGUCCAUAAGCUUCCAAUGUGGUACAGAGAGGAUGUCCAUCCACAUUUGUUUCCGUGUUCCGUUUUCAUCUUGGGACUAAUCAUCCCAUUCUGAUAACCUGCUCUGUCUUUCUGCUCUGAUUUUCUCUCCCACCUAAAAUCCUUACUAUCCUUUCAAGCGGUUAAAAGAAAAAAAAAAAUCGACAUCAGUUUGUAAAGCAUUUGGCCACAAGUUUUUCUCACAGAUUUUUCAAUAAAUUGAAA
This is a long non-coding RNA of Panthera uncia (snow leopard), 1759 nucleotides long. RefSeq lists it as uncharacterized. The transcript is spliced from 3 exons. Lineage: Eukaryota; Metazoa; Chordata; Mammalia; Carnivora; Felidae. The record is from RefSeq and is a predicted model, not a curated record.